GGGCUUGACAUCCCACGAACCUGCCCGAAAAGGUGGGGUGCCCGCAAGGGAGCGUGGAGACAGGUGGUGCAUGGCUGUCGUCAGCUCGUGUCGUGAGAUGUUGGGUUAAGUCCCGCAACGAGCGCAACCCUCACCCCUAGUUGCCACCGGGUUAAGCCGAGCACUCAAGGGGAACUGCCAGCGUCAAGCUGGAGGAAGGCGGGGAUGACGUCAAGUCAUCAUGCCCCUUACGCCCUGGGCUACACACGUGCUACAAUGGCCAGUGCAAAGGGACGCGAGACUGCGAAGUGGAGCUAAUCCCAAAAAGCUGGUCUAAGUUCAGAUUGCAGUCUGCAACUCGACUGCAUGAAGGAGGAAUCGCUAGUAAUCGCGCAUCAGCCCGGCGCGGUGAAUACGUUCCCGGGCCUUGUACACACCGCCCGUCACACCACGAUAGCUGUCUGUACUCGAAGUCGCUGAG
Molecule: ribosomal RNA, 460 nt
Filed under: uncultured Methylomirabilota bacterium
Lineage: Bacteria; Methylomirabilota (SeqCode)
Description: bacterial SSU rRNA
Rfam family: Bacterial small subunit ribosomal RNA
Source: RNAcentral